This is a long non-coding RNA of Diceros bicornis minor, 727 nucleotides long. RefSeq lists it as uncharacterized. The record is from RefSeq and is a predicted model, not a curated record. Lineage: Eukaryota; Metazoa; Chordata; Mammalia; Perissodactyla; Rhinocerotidae. The transcript is spliced from 3 exons.
UGCGCGGGGGUUUACGAGCUGGCGGGUGGCUGGGCGUGCGCUGGGCCCCCGGCGGCUGGGGCGCCGGGCGGGGGCUCGCGGCGGUCCGAGUCUGGUGACGCGCCCGCGGCGGCCCGGCUGUCCGAGGCCCUGGGCCCUGAAUGCGUGGAGGGCUGCGGCCUGGCCUGGCCUCGGCCAAGUUGUCCGUGAGACCUCAGGGGGCCCCGAAGCGGCCGCCCGUCUGCGAUCCCACGCCGGCACAUGGGGAGAAGGAUUUGAGUGCAUUUAAGUUUAUAGGUCAUCGACUGUAUGCCAGGGAGAUUUUAAUGUAAGCGGGGCUUUCUCUCGUGUGAAAGGGAAAGGCCUCACCGUGCCACCGCGUGUAUGCUUACCCUAUCAAUGUGAAGUCGGUCGGCGUAGAAGUCGAGUGCAUUUCAAGUUUAGAUCUUGACAGCCGUUUCCAGGUGCAGAAGUCGGCGGGAAUCGAUCUAGUAUCACCAACUCUGCAGGUGAGAGAUGGAUGCUUGAAGCAUAGACUGCUGCUGAGUACUGUCUGGGGGCACGAAGGUGACUGACCUAAGGAUGUCCUUGGUGAGGAAUUUGAAAACUUGAUCUUCACAGGAGUUGCGUGGAUCAUUUAAAAUUUCCAGGAGUCUAAGGAGUAUUAAAAUUACUGCCUUUGGACAAUCCAUAAAUAUACAUUUUAAGUGAUGGGGCUAUGAAUAAAUAAAUUAAUGUGCUUCUUGGA